This 186-nucleotide long non-coding RNA is filed under the name Pan troglodytes (chimpanzee). RNAcentral describes it as "lncRNA (ENSPTRG00000054286.1)". Lineage: Eukaryota; Metazoa; Chordata; Mammalia; Primates; Hominidae. The record is from RNAcentral.
AUGUCUUCAUUACAAGAUAGACUCCUGAGAAUGCUUAUUCCAGCAAAGAAGAAGAUCUUCCGAAAAAACAAGGAUUACUCAAAGUUAUUGAGAAGAAAUACAGGUUCUGGUGGACAAUUUCCAGUCUGGUAUCUGCAUUUGGAGAGAUUCUACAGCACAUGCAUGAAUGAAUGGAGUAUCUGCUGA